This is a long non-coding RNA of Austrofundulus limnaeus, 638 nucleotides long. RefSeq lists it as uncharacterized. The transcript has 4 exons. NCBI's taxonomy places the organism in Eukaryota, Metazoa, Chordata, Actinopteri, Cyprinodontiformes, Rivulidae. The record is from RefSeq and is a predicted model, not a curated record.
GCUAUCAAUACUAAGGUGCAGGACUGCUUUCCCCCCCUUUUUUUCACAUCAUGUCGCCUGUCUGGAUCUGUUAUAAUCUCGCUCUGAAGAACGGAGGAGUGUCAGAGCUGGAGCCCAGUUAAGUUGGUUUUGACAACCUUUCCAUCAAUGCUCAGAGUUUGUCAGCUUCUCACAUGAUGACGGUGCCACCUAGAGGAGCAUUUGCCUGUUUUUGAUGAGAGACUCCACCUGUGACACCAAGUUUUGCUAUCAUAAAAUGCUGUCAGUAUUCACUCAAGAUAGGCUUCAUACUUGUUCCCUGUCCUUCUGGACUCCAAAGACAUCUCAGCACCUCUCGUGUGGAACAAAGUGUUACCACCAAACAGUACCUCUGGGUAAUAGUGGGAACUCUGCUGGUGUGUUUGUGCGUGUUUGUGUGUGCUUAGGGGAUGUGUGGGGAGGGAGAGAGUGAAUGUAGUAAGAUGAAACGUAUUCAUUUGUGUGUGCAUUGCAUGUUUUGGUUUUUAUGCUUCUCUGGGUGUUUCCCAGCUGCAGUCAGCUGUACAUCACAGAAGCCUCCCAUGUGUGAGUUCAAAGUCGCUCAACUCAACUCAAACUAUUUAUGAUGCCAUCACAGGAAGGACAUGUGUGUAUUUUAA